AUGCAUUACCUAGUUCUGUUGUGUAGAAUUUUUUUUUUUUUUUCCUUUGCAGUACGCGGGGCCUCCCACUGCUGUGACCUCUCCCGUUGCGGAGCACAGGCUCCGGACGCGCAGGCUCAGCGGCCGUGGCUCACGGGCCCAGCCACUCCGCGGCAUGUGGGAUCUUCCCGGACCGGGGCACGAACCCGCGUCCCCUGCAUCGGCAGGCGGACUCUCAACCACUGCGUCACCAGGGAAACCCUGUUGUGUAGAAUAUUAUGUUUCCUGUGUAUACAGGCACACUCCACUUUUAAAGUAGACUGUAAUAGGAGAGUCCCAUGAACUGCUCUAUGGUAAAUUGCGUACUCACUGAAAGUGCUGUAGAAACAAUCCUCACUGGAGAAGUAAUAAGACAAUGUCCGCUCGGGGAUCAAGGCUUCCAAGGGUGGUAGUGGUAGCUCUCAGAAGUCUCCAGAGCCAGGUGAGCUCCAAACACUGGCUCUCAGUUCUGGAGAAGAAUGAGUUUGGUUCCUUUAGUGUCCUUACAUUGAGCUCUGAACCACACCCGCUUUUUCCAAGUGAUUGCAUUUCACCAGUUUUCUAAUAGGGUUAAUAUGGAGGAUGAGAUUUCCUGAAACCUAGGACAAGACUGCUUUAACACCUUGGAUAAUCUUCAUAAACCCAUCUCUGCAAACAUCUUCUCACCAAGAACCACUGAUUAUACCACAAAUCCACCCUCAAAUGGGCCUUCAUAUGUGUUUCUAGAUAUCAUGGAUUUUUAUUUUUAACUUACCAAAGAAGUUGGAAAGAUUAUUUCAUCACUUAGAGAGUUUAGCAAAUGUCUUGGAAAACUUGGAAAUCUGUUUCUUGAGGUUUGUUUAAAUAUGUUCUGUCAUGGAGGAAGUGCUUUAUUUUGUUGAUUGGUUUUAAAAAUUUAAAGUAGGACUUUAGUGUAAGAACAUCUGUGGUGACAACUUCAGAAUGGAAAUUUCUCUUGCCCCUCACCGUCACACUCCAGAUCAAGCCCCCCAGUGUCUCCCAGCAACAGCAGGACAGGAGAUUAUCUGCCUGGUGCUCCCCCACCCAGCUCAGGGGGGACAGUAGAGAAAGACCCCAGCACAGAGACCCCUUUGGGACAAUGUCAUUUAUAGGUUGCUUUGGAACAAAACAGAAACAACAAUAACCACAAUGGGAAAACUAGAACAAAGAAACAUUUUGAAGAAAUAACACAUACCCUUACCUUCCUUUCCUGAUAUAUUUCUCACUGAACAAUCAACUUGAGAAUGCAGAGUUUUUGGAAGGAGACUCAUGACCCUGUCUUUAAGUCUUCCAAGAUACAUGUACCAUAUGUAUAUGUUUCCAGUGGUUGAUGCUCCUAAAUGUUUAUGAACAUGAUUUUAAAAUGACCUUGAACUGCAAAAGCACAACCUCUCUCUCAUGGGGGACCACAAUUGUUACAAGCGUUCCCAAGGUCAUUAUUUUUCAAUUCUUAACCAAUUUCCCUAUCACCCUUCUUUUCUAAGUGAAGUAUGGCAAUAUAGGUUAAUUACUACAAUGAUACCUUGUGUUCCCAAUUAGUCAUAAAGUGGUUUUGGGAAUGCUGACAUGAAAGUGAUUUUAUUUUAUUUCUCUGUUUUUCUAUAUUUUACAUAUUGCAGCAGUCACCAAAAUCAGGGCACCAGAUGCAAAUGUACAGUUUCCUCUUCAGUAGACACUGGCACUCUGGAUCUCCUCAGUGGAAGAGGUUGAAGACAGCACUAGCCCAGAGUUCCCUGGAGAGGAUGACAUUGGGCCUGUAAGUGUGUGUUUAAUUAGGAGCCUGCCCCUCAAGCAGCAACUAGGAAGAUAAAUUAGUGUAAACUCUCUAGUUUAAAAUCAUGGUAAAAGACGCUACUUAUAUCUGCAAAACUCCUUCAUGGUAUCACUUGGAUUAGUUUAAUGCCUGAUUGAAUAAUCAGAGGUGUGUGCAUGCUAAAACAUGCUGCUGCCCUCACUUCCCCCUUUGUAGUCUAGCCCUGCCAAGUUGGCAUGUCAAGAAGCCAUCAUGAGGUUAUAUGCUGCG
This 2041-nucleotide long non-coding RNA is filed under the name Physeter macrocephalus (sperm whale). RNAcentral describes it as "Physeter catodon (sperm whale) lncRNA (ENSPCTG00005005990.1)". Lineage: Eukaryota; Metazoa; Chordata; Mammalia; Artiodactyla; Physeteridae. The record is from RNAcentral.